This 253-nucleotide ribosomal RNA is filed under the name uncultured bacterium. RNAcentral's name for it is "partial 16S ribosomal RNA". It matches the Rfam family "Bacterial small subunit ribosomal RNA", at positions 524 to 776 of the family's 1533-position model. The record is from RNAcentral.
UACGAAGGGGGCUAGCGUUGCUCGGAAUUACUGGGCGUAAAGCGCGUGUAGGCGGCCCUGCAAGUCGGAUGUGAAAGCCCUGGGCUUAACCUAGGAAGUGCAUUCGAAACUGCGGGGCUUGAGUUCUGGAGAGGAAGGCGGAAUUCUCGGUGUAGAGGUGAAAUUCGUAGAUAUCGAGAGGAACACCGGUGGCGAAGGCGGCCUUCUGGACAGUGACUGACGCUGAGACGCGAAAGCGUGGGGAGCGAACAGG